This 253-nucleotide ribosomal RNA is filed under the name uncultured bacterium. RNAcentral's name for it is "partial 16S ribosomal RNA". It matches the Rfam family "Bacterial small subunit ribosomal RNA", at positions 524 to 776 of the family's 1533-position model. The record is from RNAcentral.
UACGUAGGCAGCAAGCGUUGUUCGGAGUUACUGGGCGUAAAGAGUGCGUAGGUGGUGCCCUAAGUCUGUUGUGAAAUCUCCCGGCUUAACUGGGAGGGUGCGGUGGAAACUGGGGUGCUUGAGUGUGGGAGAGGUAAGCGGAAUUCCUGGUGUAGCGGUGAAAUGCGUAGAUAUCGGGAGGAACACCGGUGGCGAAGGCGGUUCUCUGGGCCUGUACUGACGCUGAGGAGCGAAAGCGUGGGGAGCGAACAGG